Molecule: ribosomal RNA, 403 nt
Filed under: uncultured bacterium
Lineage: Bacteria
Description: bacterial SSU rRNA
Rfam family: Bacterial small subunit ribosomal RNA
Source: RNAcentral
AACGAACGUUAGCGGCGCGCCUAACACAUGCAAGUCGAGCGAGAAAGGGCUUCGGCCCCGGUAAAGCGGCGCACGGGUGAGUAACACGUAGGUAAUCUGCCCCUGAGCGGGGGAUAACCUUCCGAAAGGAGGGCUAAUACCGCAUGGGACCACGACGACGCGAGUCGUUGAGGUGAAAGCCGGCCUCUGCAUGCAAGCUGGCGCUUGGGGAUGAGCCUGCGGCCCAUCAGCAGUUGGUAGGGUAAUGGCCUACCAAGGCGUAGACGGGUAGCUGGUCUGAGGGGAUGAUCAGCCACACUGGAACUGAGACACGGUCCAGACUCCUACGGGAGGCAGCAGUGGGGAAUCUUGCGCAAUGGGCGAAAGCCUGACGCAGCGACGCCGCGUGAGUGAUGAAGGCCUU